AUUCCAACCAGCAUGACUUGCGGGAAGUAGACGGUCUAUGAGGUGCCCAAAGAGAAUAAAAGUACAUGCAGGAUGCUUCUACUUAGGGCUUUUGGGUAGAGAAAGAAAUACACAAGUUAAAAAGGGACAACAUUUUCCCUUAAAGUCUAUGUAACUUAAAGUGGGGGGAGGUCCUUCAAACCCCGCGAAGUCAAACCAAACCAAAUUACUGGAGCUUAGCUGCGCAAUCGGAGUGUAACCACAUCAAGUGAGCCUGGUCUGCUGCAAAACAUCACUUAAACUGGAGCUCUGACUUAUUGUUCUCUUACUGCCCUAGAGCAAUUUUGUUUUGAAGAGCACAGAACACCCUGUUCUGAAUGUGGCUGGCACAUGAACUCAAUGUGCUGACAGCAAUUUGUACUCCGAUUAAAACGGGUGGGGGGAGGAAAGAGUGUACUGCAGUAACAAAAACUGGAAUGCAAGAACCCCAAAACUGUGUAAUUUGUAUUUUAGGAAGCAAAACUGAGAAAGAGGCUCCAUAACCUUAAAAAAAGUGCUGUAAAUGCUCCAGCCUAAAGACGUAGCUCUGCUGUGUUCCAGUGGUCUGCGGCUGGAGGCCCACUCAACUGGCUGAAGCAGAGUGUUCCCUCAGAACAGGGAAUCAGCGGUAUCACUGAGUUUAUCCACAAUAAAUGAAGAGCAUCAGUUAAUCUGGAGCAGUAUCUGGGAGCCCGAGCCUCACCGGGAGGGAAUCUGCCCCUCCGGGACUGAAGAAGUCACUGGGCAUGAGGGACGGGCGGCUACCAGGGGGGCAGACGCUGCCCACACCAGCAAGGAUACCGUGCUAUCACUUCCGGUUUCUCCAGCAGGUUGAACUUGUGCCCACAUCUGCAGAUGCCUUAAGGACACAAUC
Long non-coding RNA from Rhinolophus ferrumequinum (greater horseshoe bat), 892 nucleotides. RefSeq lists it as uncharacterized. The transcript has 3 exons. NCBI's taxonomy places the organism in Eukaryota, Metazoa, Chordata, Mammalia, Chiroptera, Rhinolophidae. The record is from RefSeq and is a predicted model, not a curated record.